AUCCUUCUGUUCCCUUUCCCAUCGGAUCUGAACCUGGUCUUGGUGGUCACACAGGGAGGAAAAGGAACACUGAAGCUCGUCUCUGGUGAUGUAACCUGGCUGUACGCUGGGGCUGGUUUCAGACACCA
Molecule: small nucleolar RNA, 128 nt
Filed under: Tupaia belangeri chinensis (Chinese tree shrew)
Lineage: Eukaryota; Metazoa; Chordata; Mammalia; Scandentia; Tupaiidae
Description: Tupaia chinensis (Chinese tree shrew) Small nucleolar RNA SNORA61
Rfam family: Small nucleolar RNA SNORA61
About the family: ACA61 is a member of the H/ACA class of snoRNA that guide the sites of modification of uridines to pseudouridines.
Source: Rfam by way of RNAcentral